Molecule: ribosomal RNA, 451 nt
Filed under: uncultured bacterium
Lineage: Bacteria
Description: partial 16S ribosomal RNA
Rfam family: Bacterial small subunit ribosomal RNA
Source: RNAcentral
GUGGGGAAUAUUGGACAAUGGGCGAAAGCCUGAUCCAGCCAUGCCGCGUGUGUGAAGAAGGUCUUCGGAUUGUAAAGCACUUUAAGCGAGGAGGAGGCUACCGAGAUUAAUACUCUUGGAUAGUGGACGUUACUCGCAGAAUAAGCACCGGCUAACUCUGUGCCAGCAGCCGCGGUAAUACAGAGGGUGCAAGCGUUAAUCGGAUUUACUGGGCGUAAAGCGCGCGUAGGUGGCCAAUUCAGUCAAAUGUGAAAUCACCGAGCUUAACUUGGGAACUGCAUUCGAGACGGGUUGGCUAGAGUAUGGGAGAGGAUGGUAGAAUUCCAGGUGUAGCCGUGAAAUGCGUAGAGAUCUGGAGGAAUACCGAUGGCGAAGGCAGCCAUCUGGCCUAAUACUGACACUGGGGUGCGAAAGCAUGGGGAGCAAACAGGAUUAGAAGCCCUAGUAGUCC